This 249-nucleotide ribosomal RNA is filed under the name uncultured bacterium. RNAcentral's name for it is "partial 16S ribosomal RNA". It matches the Rfam family "Bacterial small subunit ribosomal RNA", at positions 796 to 1041 of the family's 1533-position model. The record is from RNAcentral.
CACGCCGUAAACGAUGAGUACUAGGUGUUAGGGGGUUUCCGCCCCUUAGUGCUGCAGCUAACGCAUUAAGCACUCCGCCUGGGGAGUACGACCGCAAGGUUGAAACUCAAAGGAAUUGACGGGGGCCCGCACAAGCGGUGGAGCAUGUGGUUUAAUUCGAAGCAACGCGAAGAACCUUACCAGGUCUUGACAUCCCAGUGACCACUCUAGAGAUAGAGUUUUCCCUUCGGGGACAUUGGUGACAGGUGG